This 282-nucleotide small RNA is filed under the name Guyparkeria sp. XI15. RNAcentral describes it as "Halothiobacillus sp. XI15 5' ureB small RNA". It matches the Rfam family "5' ureB small RNA". The record is from Rfam by way of RNAcentral. Lineage: Bacteria; Pseudomonadati; Pseudomonadota; Gammaproteobacteria; Chromatiales; Thioalkalibacteraceae.
UCGUCGACCUGCUGCGGGCAGAUGAAGUGGAUGUGGGCGUCGAUCCCGCCGGCGGUGAGGAUCUUGCCCUCGCCGGCGAUCACUUCGGUCCCCGGCCCGAUCACGAGCUCCACAUCCGGCUGGGUGUCGGGGUUGCCGGCCUUGCCGAUCCCGGCGAUGCGCCCGCCGCGGAUACCGACGUCGGCCUUGACCACACCCCACCAGUCGAGGAUCAGGGCGUUGGUGAUCACCGUGUCCAUGACCGCCUCGUCGGCACGCUGGCUCUGGCCCAUGCCGUCGCGG